RNAcentral lists this ribosomal RNA (135 nucleotides) under uncultured eukaryote. RNAcentral's name for it is "partial 18S ribosomal RNA". It matches the Rfam family "Eukaryotic small subunit ribosomal RNA", at positions 1299 to 1458 of the family's 1831-position model. The record is from RNAcentral.
UGGUGGAGCGAUUUGUCUGGUUAAUUCCGAUAACGAACGAGACUCUGGCCUAUUAAAUAGACGGUAUAUUUAAAAGUAUAUCGCGCUUCUUAGAGGGACAAGCGGCGUCUAGCCGCAUGAAAUAGAGCAAUAACA